RNAcentral lists this unclassified non-coding RNA (507 nucleotides) under uncultured Entrophospora. RNAcentral's name for it is "SSU rRNA". It matches the Rfam family "Eukaryotic small subunit ribosomal RNA", at positions 591 to 1092 of the family's 1831-position model. Lineage: Eukaryota; Fungi; Glomeromycota; Glomeromycetes; Entrophosporales; Entrophosporaceae. The record is from RNAcentral.
CCAAUAGCGUAUAUUAAAGUUGUUGCAGUUAAAAAGCUCGUAGUUGAAUUUCGGGAUUGACGUGACGGUCAUGCCUUAAGGGGUAUGAACUGUUGCUGUUAAUUUCUCACCUUCUGGAGAAACUUGAUGUCCUUUAUUGGGUGUCUUGCGGAUCCAGGACCUUUACCUUGAAAAAAUUAGAGUGUUUAAAGCAGGCAUUUUUGCUCGAAUACAUUAGCAUGGAAUAAUAGAAUAGGACGGCAUGGUUCUAUUUUGUUGGUUUCUAGGAUCACCGUAAUGAUUAAUAGGGAUAGUUGGGGGCAUUAGUAUUCAAUUGUCAGAGGUGAAAUUCUUGGAUUUAUUGAAGACUAACUACUGCGAAAGCAUUUGCCAAGGAUGUUUUCAUUAAUCAAGAACGAAAGUUAGGGGAUCGAAGACGAUCAGAUACCGUCGUAGUCUUAACCAUAAACUAUGCCGACUAGGAAUCAGACGAUGUUAAUUUUUUAAUGACUCGUUUGGCACCUUACG